UGUGCCAGCAGCUGCGGUUAUAUUCAUAAGUAAAUCAGAAAAUUAAAGAAUUGAUACAAAUAAUUAUUUUCUUAGUCUAAUAGAAUAAAUAAUAAAUAUUACUGUGAUAAUAAAAAUAAAAUAAAAAAAUGGAUUAGUACCCAUGUAUUACACCCUAUUCUAUAAUAGUAAAAAUAAAAUUAAAAUCUCAUGGCUGCGUUUAUUAAGAAUUAUUAGAGAAUUUUGGAAAAUAAAUUGAUACCCCCCAAUUUUAUUUACUUUUCAAACACAUUCAACGUAUGGCUGUGUGAAAAUUAUACAGAUAGUUUUAUUAUCAAGUUACAUGUAAUUUGAAUAGGAAUUUCUAAAAUGCGAUUUAUACAUAAAAAUGUUGAUUAUUUACUGUAAGUAUUUAAUAGUAGGGAGCUAUCAUUCUCGAAUAAAUUCUUAAAAGGGUUCAAAUCGUCCGUCAUUCUCUAUUA
Molecule: ribosomal RNA, 461 nt
Filed under: Halicyclops sp. 2 IK-2020
Lineage: Eukaryota; Metazoa; Arthropoda; Copepoda; Cyclopoida; Cyclopidae
Description: partial small subunit ribosomal RNA
Source: RNAcentral